GAUAAACGCUGGCGGCGUGCCUAAUACAUGCAAGUCGAGCGGUAAGGCCCUUUUAGGGUACACGAGCGGCGGACGGGUGAGUAACGCGUGGGAAUCUACCCCAGACUGAGGGAUAAGCACCGGAAACGGUGUCUAAUACCGCAUACGGUCUUCGGAUUAAAGCUUCGGCGGUUUGGGAAGAGCCCGCGUAAGAUUAGCUAGUUGGUAAGGUAAUGGCUUACCAAGGCGACGAUCUUUAGCUGGUUUGAGAGGAUGAUCAGCCACACUGGAACUGAGACACGGUCCAGACUCCUACGGGAGGCAGCAGUAAGGAAUUUUCCACAAUGGGCGAAAGCCUGAUGGAGCAACGCCGCGUGCAGGAUGAAGGUUUUCGGAUUGUAAACUGCUUUUAUACGUGACGAAUAUGACGGUAGCGUAUGAAUAAGGAUCGGCUAACUCCGUGCCAGCCGCCGCGGUAAAAC
This 461-nucleotide ribosomal RNA is filed under the name uncultured bacterium. Its description in RNAcentral is "bacterial SSU rRNA". It matches the Rfam family "Bacterial small subunit ribosomal RNA", at positions 28 to 526 of the family's 1533-position model. The record is from RNAcentral.